UAAAAAAAAAGAUUAACAAUUUUGUAAACAUUGACAUUGGAAAUGAUAUCUUCAAAAGCAAGUGCAUGAGUAACAACAUAUGUGAGAAUUGCUAAAUGCCCCAAAAAUCGGUUUAAACAAAACUGUCAUGCAAGCUAUACAUCUAAAUAAACGGGGACUUAAUAUACUUAUACUAAUCUAGGGGAUAAAAUGAAGUUAAGGUAUCCUUUCAGUAUUGUUUCCAAGCAAAUCCCUUCAUAGCUUUACACCAGAAGUCUAAAAAAUUGCCACGACCAGAAGACUAAUAGUGAUAAUCUGAACCACCGAGGUAAGCUUACAUUCUAGAUCACUCAAUCCUGUUGAAGGCAAAUUAAGGAGUUAAUUACAUUUUAGAUUCAGAUACAAUAGACAGAUACGUAAGAUGCAUCACUAUUAUGUGGAUAAAUAAGUUCAAUGAAUACAUGUUAGAAUUGCAAGACGAUGAUGUUGUUCAUACCAAAUAGUAUCCCAUCGCUACUCAUGUGUGUAUGAGUUAUGGAUCAUAUAGGGAGAUACAAUAUCUUGGUAGUUCGUGCAAUGCAUAAAGGUAAGUUCAGGUAUGAAUCUUUCUUGGUGAUUGUAUCCCCAUCAAGUCAAGUUGGUCCUUCCUGCAGCUAGCUGCACCAAGCAUUGCUCUAUUACAGGUACACAUAUAGUAGAAGGAUUUAGAUUCUCUACUUUAUUGUCUAAAACCAACAAGGAAUAAUAAAAAUAAUAUUUGACCAAAGCUGUUGCAACUUCUCUAGCAAAUUUCGAUGAAGAUUAUCUAUUGUUAUUGUCUAAAACCAAGAAGGAAUAAUGAAAAUAAUAUUUGAUCAAGGCUGUUGCAACUCCUCUAGCAAAUUUCUGCUAAGCUCUGCUAAGCAUAACAUGCAAUCUUACUAUAUGUAUUAUCACAGCCAACCACUAAUGCACAUCUUCAGCCAAAUAACUACAGAGGAGUAGAGUGGAAUCAUACAGUACCUAUGACCAGGACAACAAUCUUUUUUGCUGGAACUAUUUUUUAUGGGACCAGCCAAAACUUUUGCUGCGACCUGGCAGGAGCGAGCCAUUGUUUUUGCUGGAAAUGACGAGUUUUUUGGCCGUAAACAUUUUGUUGGAACAAAAUAUAAAUAGCAUUAACUAACAGCAAGGCUAUUGGAUCUUGACACCGAAAUAGUCAAUUAAAUAAGUAGAAGUUGUGAGGAACUACUGCUAUUUAAAAACAGAGGCAUAUUCUGUUGAUCAAAUCAGUAGGGUUUUUUUAACUGAAAAGGCCUUUCCGUUAAGCAAAAAACCUUAGAUAAAUCAUUAUUCAUGCACCUUGCCAAUUAGCACAAAUAGAGAUGCAAAUUAUCCCAGAGAGUUAGAAGACCCAAAAAAAUUAACCCGCACAUGGUGCACUCACACAUAAGAGAAGACCCAAGCAGAGCGAUCAAGCCAUGCAAUUCAAGUUAUUAAAAUACUAAUUAGUUAUUGUAUCUCGACGGAUAGUCUUAUCUAAAAACAAUUAAACGAUAUGGAGUAGUUUGCAAGGAGUAUAUACAUACUAUUUUUUCAAAUGGGAUAUAUACAACUAUUCUCAGAGUAUAUGCCUAUGAUACUGGCAAUAACGAUCAGUGUAUACUCAUUGUCACAAAGGAGUGUAUGGUGUGUUUUCUUUUCAAAUGAUAGUAUACUAUUUUUCGCAAAGGGGUAUAGAAGAGAGGGCCUUUCUGUAUGGUGUGUUUCAGUAUCGAUCAACAGUAUAUGUUUCUUUCUGUCUUGUCGUACAUAUACUUCACUGCUGAGGAGAAAGUAUACACCAAAAAAAUUAAGUACUGAACCAAGGGAAACCUGUGAGGAGAAGCAUGCAUGCAUCCGGUGAGAAAAAGUAAAAGUGAUAAAAAGUAGUAUAUACUUGAACAAAAGUAGUAUAUACUAUAUUAUCUGAAAAAGUAAGAAGAAUGAAUUUCAAAUACUCGUGGCAAUUUAAAUGAUAGACAAAAGUAGUCUUUGAUGACAGAUGCAAAUUGAUGACACUGCAGUAUGUACCUCAGGUCAGACAAAGUUCCGGCGAACAGUCGAGUACGAGAAGUGUACAGCCACGCGAGGUCGGAAACGUGAGGCGCAACGAUAAGCCAAAAAACUUCAUAUUAUCCAACCUUGCAUUAGAAUCCAAAAGGGUUCAGUGAUGUGUGCCUCUCUCUCUGCUCUCUCUGUUCCUCUCAUAUUUCUCCUUUUUUCUCACCAAAAUACAACGCAAGAGAACAUAUGAUAUACGUCCAUCCGUCGUGAAAAUGACAAUGCUCUAUUUAUAAUUGACACAUUGUUAUGAGUCCAAACUAAAUAAGGUCUCGUCAAUUCUGGGAUUAAGAAAUUGGAAGCACCUUAUAUAUUUGUUCUAUAUUGCAAAAACAACACUGCUUCAUUUGACAGGACUACAACACUCAGCCGUAGAGAGAAAAGGUUGCCAAACCUGAGGAUUAAACCGCAGCCUCCAUGGAUGAAAGUGGAAUUGGACAGUCAGCUUAAGUGCUGGGGUAGCCGGGUGGUACUGUCCCUAGAUCGUUCCCUUAGCUCAAACAUACUGGCUUUUGCGUCGUCGAUGUCGUGUUGUAACUCAGCACUUGCACCUGCCGGUCAGAAAAAUAUUCGCUAAUAUCAAGAACUCAAUCCACAAAGACUGGUUGAACCAACAAUUGAGUCAGUGGUGAAGUAGAUUACCAAAAGAACAAAUAAGAGAACAUGUAUAGCAUUUCCGGAGCAUGUGUUUAACGCUACAAACCUGGGUUUUUUAAAAGAUUGUUCAUGGCCUCCCCUGCUAGCCGAUAAACAUCUAAUGAACGGUCAAAAUGGGUGUGGAUGGCCCUGGGUACAUGAGGUGCGUAAGACCUAAAAAACAACAAUACAAAGUAUAUUGUAAAUUCUGUCAGAACUUGAUUUCACCAUAAAAAAACUCACAGCUAUGUUCAUUUCAGAAGAAAAAAAUAAGAACAUUCAAAUGUCCAGUUAAAUUUUGGGAAGAUGACAGUUGCUGGCACCGGAUCAACCAGCAGGAGGCACGUGAGGACAUGGUCGUACUGGUCGCCGAGGCACAGGACGGCGGCCAGGAUCUCCUCUUGCACGAUACACUCAUCUUCCUGUUGCUUCAAUAGUUCAGUAUGGUGCUGAAGACAACUUCUCCUCUUUCUCUCCAUUCUCUAGGCUAAUAUAAUCAAUUAGAAUGUACAGAACAUGAGUAGCAUCUGAACGAAAACCUUCACAUUAGUGCUGGAUGGAACACCAAAGGAACAAAAAAAUGGAAAAAUAC
RNAcentral lists this long non-coding RNA (3289 nucleotides) under Triticum aestivum (bread wheat). RNAcentral's name for it is "long non-coding RNA (TAES_LNC001513)". Lineage: Eukaryota; Viridiplantae; Streptophyta; Magnoliopsida; Poales; Poaceae. The record is from RNAcentral.